This 4920-nucleotide long non-coding RNA is filed under the name Chlamydomonas reinhardtii. Its description in RNAcentral is "long non-coding RNA (CREI_LNC001136)". The record is from RNAcentral. Lineage: Eukaryota; Viridiplantae; Chlorophyta; Chlorophyceae; Chlamydomonadales; Chlamydomonadaceae.
AGGCGCAGGGCUGGGAGGCGCAGGCGACGGCGGGGGCACACCCGGACCGGGGCUGGGCGGCUCCGGCGAAGGUGGCGGCGUGCCAGGCGCGGGGCUGGGAGGCGCAGGCGACGGCGGGGGCACACCCGGCGCGGGGCUGGGCGGCUCCGGCGAAGGCGGCGCAGGGCUGGGAGGCGCAGGGCUGGGCGGCUCCGGCGAAGGCGGCGGCGUGCCAGGCGCAGGGCUGGGAGGCGAAGGCGAAGGCGGGGGCACACCCGGCGCGGGGCUGGGCGGCUCCGGCGAAGGCGGCGGCGUGCCAGGCGCAGGGCUGGGAGGCGCAGGCGACGGCGGGGGCACACCCGGCGCGGGGCUGGGCGGCUCCGGCGAAGGUGGCGGCGUGCCAGGCGCAGGGCUGGGAGGCGCAGGCGACGGCGGGGGUACACCCGGACCGGGGCUGGGCGGCUCCGGCGAAGGCGGCGGCGUGCCAGGCGCAGGGCUGGGAGGCGCAGGCGACGGCGGGGGCACACCCGGCGCGGGGCUGGGCGGCUCCGGCGAAGGUGGCGGCGUGCCAGGCGCAGGGCUGGGAGGCGCAGGCGACGGCGGGGGCACACCCGGCGCGGGGCUGGGCGGCUCCGGCGAAGGCGGCGGCGUGCCAGGCGCAGGGCUGGGAGGCGCAGGCGACGGCGGGGGCACGCCCGGCGCGGGGCUGGGCGGCUCCGGCGAAGGCGGCGGCGUGCCAGGCGCAGGGCUGGGAGGCGCAGGCGACGGCGGGGGCACGCCCGGACCGGGGCUGGGCGGCUCCGGCGAAGGCGGCGGCGUGCCAGGCGCAGGGCUGGGAGGCGCAGGCGACGGCGGGGGCACACCCGGCGCGGGGCUGGGCGGCUCCGGCGAAGGCGGCGGAGUACCAGGCGCAGGGCUGGGAGGGGCAGGCGACGGCGGGGGCACACCCGGCGCGGGGCUGGGCGGCUCCGGCGAAGGCGGCGGCGUGCCAGGCGCAGGGCUGGGAGGCGCAGGGCGACGGCGGGGGCACACCCGGCGCGGGGCUGGGCGGCUCCGGCGAAGGCGGCGGCGUGCCAGGCGCAGGGCUGGGAGGCGCAGGCGACGGCGGGGGCACACCCGGCGCGGGGCUGGGCGGCUCCGGCGAAGGUGGCGGCGUGCCAGGCGCAGGGCUGGGAGGCGCAGGCGACGGCGGGGGCACACCCGGACCGGGGCUGGGCGGCUCCGGCGAAGGCGGCGGCGUGCCAGGCGCAGGGCUGGGAGGCGCAGGCGACGGCGGGGGCACACCCGGCGCGGGGCUGGGCGGCUCCGGCGAAGGCGGCGGCGUGCCAGGCGCAGGGCUGGGAGGUGCAGGCGACGGCGGGGGCACACCCGGCGCGGGGCUGGGCGGCUCCGGCGAAGGCGGUGGCGUGCCAGGCGCAGGGCUGGGAGGCGCAGGCGACGGCGGGGGCACACCCGGCGCGGGGCUAGGCGGCUCUGGCGAAGGCGGCGCAGGGCUGGGAGGCGCAGGGCUGGGAGGCGCAGGCGACGGCGGGGGCACACCCGGUGCGGGGCUGGGCGGCUCCGGCGAAGGCGGCGGAGUACCAGGCGCAGGGCUGGGAGGCGCAGGCGACGGCGGGGGCACGCCCGGACCGGGGCUGGGCGGCUCCGGCGAAGGUGGCGGCGCACCAGGCGCGGGGCUGGGAGGCGCAGGCGACGGCGGGGGCACGCCCGGCGCGGGGCUGGGCGGCUCCGGCGAAGGAGGCGGCGUGCCAGGCGCAGGGCUGGGAGGCGCAGGCGACGGCGGGGGCACACCCGGUCCGGGGCUGGGCGGCUCCGGCGAAGGCGGCGGCGUGCCAGGCGCAGGGCUGGGAGGCGCAGGCGACGGCGGGGGCACACCCGGCGCGGGGCUGGGCGGCUCCGGCGAAGGCGGCGGCGUGCCAGGCGCAGGGCUGGGAGGCGCAGGCGACGGCGGGGGCACACCCGGCGCGGGGCUGGGCGGCUCCGGCGAAGGCGGCGGCGUGCCAGGCGCAGGGCUGGGAGGCGCAGGCGACGGCGGGGGCACACCCGGCGCGGGGCUGGGCGGCUCCGGCGAAGGCGGUGGCGUGCCAGGCGCAGGGCUGGGAGGCGCAGGCGACGGCGGGGGCACACCCGGCGCGGGGCUAGGCGGCUCUGGCGAAGGCGGCGGCGUACCAGGCGCAGGGCUGGGAGGCGCAGGCGACGGCGGGGGCACACCCGGACCGGGGCUGGGCGGCUCCGGCGAAGGUGGCGGCGUGCCAGGCGCGGGGCUGGGAGGCGCAGGCGACGGCGGGGGCACACCCGGCGCGGGGCUGGGCGGCUCCGGCGAAGGCGGCGCAGGGCUGGGAGGCGCAGGGCUGGGAGGCGCAGGCGACGGCGGGGGCACACCCGGCGCAGGGCUGGGCGGCUCCGGCGAAGGCGGUGGCGUGCCAGGCGCAGGGCUGGGAGGCGCAGGCGACGGCGGGGGCACACCCGGCGCGGGGCUAGGCGGCUCUGGCGAAGGCGGCGCAGGGCUGGGAGGCGCAGGGCUGGGAGGCGCAGGCGACGGCGGGGGCACACCAGGUCCGGGGCUGGGCGGCUCCGGCGAAGGCGGCGGCGUGCCAGGCGCAGGGCUGGGAGGCGCAGGCGACGGAGGGGGCACACCCGGCGCGGGGCUGGGCGGCUCCGGCGAAGGCGGCGGCGUGCCAGGCGCAGGGCUGGGAGGCGCAGGCGACGGAGGGGGCACACCCGGCGCGGGGCUGGGCGGCUCCGGCGAAGGCGGCGGCGUGCCAGGCGCAGGGCUGGGAGGCGCAGGCGACGGCGGGGGCACACCCGGACCGGGGCUGGGCGGCUCCGGCGAAGGCGGCGGCGUGCCAGGCGCAGGGCUGGGAGGCGCAGGCGACGGCGGGGGCACACCCGGCGCGGGGCUAGGCGGCUCUGGCGAAGGCGGCGCAGGGCUGGGAGGCGCAGGGCUGGGAGGCGCAGGCGACGGCGGGGGCACACCCGGCGCGGGGCUGGGCGGCUCCGGCGAAGGAGGCGGCGUGCCAGGCGCAGGGCUGGGAGGCGCAGGCGACGGAGGGGGCACACCCGGCGCGGGGCUGGGCGGCUCCGGCGAAGGCGGCGGCGCGCCAGGCGCAGGGCUAGGAGGCGCAGGCGACGGCGGGGGCACACCCGGCGCAGGGCUGGGCGGCUCUGGCGAAGGAGGCGGCGUGCCAGGCGCAGGGCUGGGAGGCGCAGGCGACGGAGGGGGCACACCCGGCGCGGGGCUGGGCGGCUCCGGCGAAGGCGGCGGCGCGCCAGGCGCAGGGCUAGGAGGCGCAGGCGACGGCGGGGGCACACCCGGCGCGGGGCUGGGCGGCUCCGGCGAAGGCGGCGGCGUGCCAGGCGCAGGGCUGGGAGGCGCAGGCGACGGCGGGGGCACACCAGGUCCGGGGCUAGGCGGCUCUGGCGAAGGCGGCGGCGUGCCAGGCGCAGGGCUGGGAGGCGCAGGCGACGGAGGGGGCACACCCGGCGCGGGGCUGGGCGGCUCCGGCGAAGGCGGCGGCGUGCCAGGCGCAGGGCUGGGAGGCGCAGGCGACGGCGGGGGCACACCCGGCGCGGGGCUGGGCGGCUCCGGCGAAGGCGGCGGCGUGCCAGGCGCAGGGCUGGGAGGCGCAGGCGACGGCGGGGGCACACCCGGCGCGGGGCUAGGCGGCUCCGGCGAAGGCGGCGGAGUACCAGGCGCAGGGCUGGGAGGCGCAGGCGACGGCGGGGGCACACCAGGUCCGGGGCUGGGCGGCUCCGGCGAAGGAGGCGGCGUGCCAGGCGCAGGGCUGGGAGGCGCAGGCGACGGAGGGGGCACACCCGGCGCGGGGCUGGGCGGCUCCGGCGAAGGCGGCGGCGCGCCAGGCGCAGGGCUAGGAGGCGCAGGCGACGGCGGGGGCACACCCGGCGCAGGGCUGGGCGGCUCCGGCGAAGGAGGCGGCGUGCCAGGCGCAGGGCUGGGAGGCGCAGGCGACGGCGGGGGCACACCCGGCGCGGGGCUAGGCGGCUCUGGCGAAGGCGGCGCAGGGCUGGGAGGCGCAGGGCUGGGAGGCGCAGGCGACGGCGGGGGCACACCCGGCGCGGGGCUGGGCGGCUCCGGCGAAGGCGGCGGCGUGCCAGGCGCAGGGCUGGGAGGCGCAGGCGACGGCGGGGGCACACCCGGCGCAGGGCUGGGCGGCUCCGGCGAAGGCGGCGGCGUGCCAGGCGCAGGGCUGGGAGGCGCAGGCGACGGAGGGGGCACACCCGGCGCGGGGCUAGGCGGCUCCGGCGAAGGCGGCGGCGUGCCAGGCGCAGGGCUGGGAGGCGCAGGCGACGGCGGGGGCACACCCGGCGCGGGGCUGGGCGGCUCCGGCGAAGGCGGCGGCGUGCCAGGCGCAGGGCUGGGAGGCGCAGGCGACGGCGGGGGCACACCCGGCGCGGGGCUGGGCGGCUCCGGCGAAGGUGGCGGAGUACCAGGCGCAGGGCUGGGAGGCGCAGGCGACGGCGGGGGCACACCCGGCGCAGGGCUGGGCGGCUCCGGCGAAGGCGGCGGCGUGCCAGGCGCAGGGCUAGGAGGCGCAGGCGACGGAGGGGGCACACCCGGCGCGGGGCUAGGCGGCUCCGGCGAAGGUGGCGGCGUACCAGGCGCAGGGCUGGGAGGCGCAGGCGACGGCGGGGGCACACCCGGCGCGGGGCUGGGCGGCUGCGGCGAAGGUGGCGGCGUACCAGGCGCAGGGCUGGGAGGCGCAGGCGACGGCGGGGGCACACCCGGCGCGGGGCUAGGCGGCUCCGGCGAAGGCGGCGGAGUACCAGGCGCAGGGCUGGGAGGCGCAGGCGACGGCGGGGGCACACCCGGCGCGGGGCUAGGCGGCUCCGGCGAAGGCGGCGGAGUACCAGGCGCAGGGCUGGGAGGCGCAGGCGACGGCGGGGGCACACCCGGCGCGGGGCUAGGCGGCUCCGGCGAAG